This is a long non-coding RNA of Entelurus aequoreus (snake pipefish), 9557 nucleotides long. RefSeq lists it as uncharacterized. The transcript has 3 exons. Lineage: Eukaryota; Metazoa; Chordata; Actinopteri; Syngnathiformes; Syngnathidae. The record is from RefSeq and is a predicted model, not a curated record.
CUUCUAAUAUGUAAGUGCAAUUUGUAUCAGGUAGUUAUUGACUUUUACUGAAACAACUUUUCUAAAUAUGACUUCAACUUCUGACAAAGUCAUUCUCUGGCCAGAUACUUGUACUUUUACUCAAGUAUCGCUUUCAAGUAUUUUACACAAGACUGGUUACAGUGAAGCAAUCAAUGAGAAGUCAAAGAAAGACAUUACUGGACAAUUAUGAAGAAUUCAAAGGCUUGAACAUCUGGAGCCUUGACGUGACUGCAAUCAUCGAGCCAAAACGGUUUAUCAAGCAUCGCCUCAAUGAUGGCACGAAGAGAGAGAAAAUUGCAACAUUCCUGUACACCUUAACACACUAUUAGCGUACGACAAUUAAACAAAUCUUCUACAUGAGCUGCAAUGACUGCCAACAGCCAACAGGUGUAAAUUAGCCGACUUACAUGUUUGUUUUUGGAAAAAAAACGCUCGGAUUGUUUUAUUUUCUUCAUGUUAUUUCCUUAUUGAAUUGAAAUCACUCGCUCUGUCAUAGUAGACAAUUGUCUAAUGAUCAGUGAGCAGUGGAAACAAAAGCCAAAUAAGGGUGUACUCCUCCAAGCUAUAUCAUGGGGCUUAGUUAAACUGCAACACUUGAUGGAAAUGUGGUUUAAAUACUAUAUAAAUAUUGUCAUGCCAGUUGAAAUUCAUAUUAUUUCUUGUGAAUUUGCAGUAAAUACAGAGUAUUAAGUCAGUGCAGUGAUAAUUGAGAUACUUACGUUCAGCACUUGAGAUGCUGGGCUCUGGUCCUGUCGUAGGAAUAAUACUAGUAACAGGAGGAGACGGACCAGAGCAUGUGAAGUUGGUGUCAGCAUCCAGCCCACUGGAGUUGAACUGGACAAAGCCUGGCUUAUCAGAACUGAUGUGUGAGUUGAUCCAGGACUGGUAGCUGGACACUCUGGCAUAAACUCCCGGCAGAUUAGGUCUAGCACAGCCAACACCAAAACUGACAAUUCCUGAUUGGAUCCAGAUUGAAUCCUGCUGGCUCAACAUUGGACCUCCUGAAUCACCCUAAUGAUGUGAAUACAAAUUGUGUGUCAAAUCAUAUUAGAAUUAUUAUUAUUUUAGGCCAAAGAGGUAAAUUAAAUUAAGUUAUCUACCUGACAAGCAUCUUUCCCUCCUUCAAGUAAACCAGCACAGAUCAUGUUGUCUGUAAUAGAACCUUCACCAUUCAGGCAGGUACACUGUCUGUUUCCCACAACUGGAACCUCCACUUCUUGUAGCGUUUGAGGGAAGGGGAGUGACACUAAACGGUAGAGGGAAAGUCUAUUAGGUGUAGUCAAAGGAAACGUUAUAUUCUAUCACUAGUUAACUACUUUACCUCCUUCCUGGACAGUUCCCCAACCAGUGACCCAGCUAUCAGUACCAUUGAUGAAGUUACUGCUACUGGCUGCCAGACACACAGGUCUGAUGUAUUCUGUGAAAGUGACCGGUGAGGAAAGUCUAAGCAGAGCGAUGUCGUUGUCAAAGCUAAAAGUGUCAAAGUUUGGAUGCAAAAUGAUUGUGUCAACAGUUCUGGACACUUCAUUUGUGUUGUUGCCCUGCAGGUUCUGACGACCAAGAGAAACGGACCAUCCAAAGGUGACCCACCUGAAGAAGCAGUGGGCAGCUGACAUCACCCACUCUUUGUUUAUAAGAGAACCACCACAAACAUGGCUGCCAAGAUCCUGCAAACUGGCCUGCCAAGGCCAACUUCCUUCUUGUGCGUCUUCACCUCCAACUAUCCUCGUGUUCAGUGGAGAGGUGCCACACACUGCAAACAGGUCUCAUUAGAAUCCAAGUUGAUGAACACGUACUGUAUUCAAAAUUAGUCAGGGGCACGGAUGGUAUUUUGCAACAGGGCAGAACAAAUGUUAGCAAUGAUUGAAUGAUGAGGUUUUUUCCAACUCCAUGGCUUAAUCAAUUAUUUUUUUAAAGUCAGUAGCAGUACACAUACUUUGUUACUGUACUUAAUGUACAAUUACUUAAUGUAUAAUGUUUAACAUUUACACUUAUUUUGAAUACUUUCGCUUUUACUCUUCAAAAUGUUUGAAAAAAAAAUCACUACCUUUACUGAAAUCCAUUUUCAUGAAUUAUCUUCGUAACUCUUUACUCUAAAACAAAAGUUGAUUUUGAGACGUAAUGCCAUCAUUUUGUCAUAUUAAAUGCAAACAAGUAAAGUAAAUCGAUGCAAUGUUCUACUCAGAGCGGCGCACCCAGAAACCGCUAGCAAGUUUGCUGCUAAACUGUAACAUGUCGCAGUGUUGCUCAAAGAAUAACUCAGAAAGUCUUGGUGGUUGGAGCUACACUUUUUCCAGUUGUAAGAGUCACAGGUAUGUAAAACUAUUUAAUUGUGUUAAUUACCUGUUGUUGUUGCACAUAUUUAAUGAUUGAAGAAGGUGCUGACUUGCAAAACUAUGCAAUUACAAAGUCAUUGUACUACUACUGUGUCCUUAAAUUGCUGCUUUCUGCUGUAAAUUCUUUAUUCUGUAAAUAUAGAUUUAACUUUCUUUUUUAAAAGUAAAUUAUUAGUUUUUAAAUGCAUACAGAUAUACAUGAUUAAAUUGGCCUUUGUGUGUGAAUGUAAGUGUGAAUGGUUGUCUAUCUGUAUUGGCUUUGCAAUGAGCUGGCGACUUGUCCUGGGUGUGCCCUGCCUUCUGCCCGAGUGCAGCUGGGAUAGCCUCAAGCCUCCCGGCAGGCCCGAAAGGGACACACGGUAGAAAAUGUAUGGAAGGAUCAAUGGAAAUCAAUUAUAUUCUGUCAAUAUUUGGAUGUUUUUAGAGAGCUUUAUAGGCAUAAUAAUAUUUGGUCCAUUGUUAUCUGACUUUGGCUUGCAUUUAUUUACGGGUUAGAAUGCAUUACAAAAGAAAAACAUAUGAGUGCUUGUCUUACAUGUUGAUAGUGAAUGAUAGACAAAAAUCCAAAAAAAGUGCGGUUACCCUUAAGGUUUCUGUUAAAAACAAGUUGAGUUUGUUCUUAUAAUAUACAGAAAAGUUGAGAUAUAAAUGACAGUAGAAGUUUAAUAUCAAUGUUUAACAAGUUAAAGCCUCUUCUAUUUUACUGUACCUGAAUAAGUUUGUUUUUUUUAUAAAUAAGAAAGCCACAUAACACGUAAACAUUAUAAUUACUCACUUUGUUUAAAUAAAUGUACUUCUAAUAUCAUCUUGCAUUUCGUAUCAGGUACUUAUUGACUUUUACUGAAACAAUUUUUCUAAAUAUGACUUCAACUUCUGACAAAGUCAUUCUCUGGUCAGAUACUUGUAAUUUUACUCAAGUAUCACUUUCAAGUAUUUUAUACAAGACUGGUUACAGGGAAGCGAUCAAUGAGAAGUCAAAGAAAGACCUUCCUAACAUUUAUGAAGAAACGACAAUUACAAAAUCUUCUACGUGAGGUGCAAUGACUGCCAACAGCCAACAGGUGUAAAUUAGCCGACUUACAUGUUUGUUUUUGGAAAAAAAAACGCUCGGAUUGUUUUAUUUUCUUCAUGUUAUUUCCUUAUUGAAUUGAAAUCACUCGCUCUGUCAUAGUAGACGAUUGUCUAAUGAUCAGUGAGCAGUGGAAACAAAAGCCAAAUAAGGGUGUACUCCUCCAAGCUAUAUCAUGGGGCUUAGUUAAACUGCAACACUUGAUGGAAAUGUGGUUUAAAUACUAUAUAAAUAUUGUCAUGCCAGUUGAAAUUCAUAUUAUUUCAUGUGAAUUUGCAGUAAAUACAGAGUAUUAAGUCAGUGCAGUGAUAAUUGAGAUACUUACGUUCAGCACUUGAGAUGCUGGGCUCUGGUCCUGUCGUAGGAAUAAUACUAGUAACAGGAGGAGACGGAUCAGAGCAUGUGAAGUUGGUGUCAGCAUCCAGCCCACUGGAGUUGAACUGGACAAAGCCUGGCUUAUCAGAACUGAUGUGUGUGUUGAUCCAGGACUGGUAGCUGGACACUCUGGCAUAAACUCCCGGCAGAUUAGGUCGAGCACAGCCAACACCAAAACUGACAAUUCCUGAUUGGAUCCAGAUUGAAUCCUGCUGGCUCAUCAUUGGACCUCCUGAGUCGCCCUAACGGUGUGUAUACGAAUUGUGUGUCAAAUCAUAAUUGAACUAUAUAUAACCAAAUGAGAAGAAGUAAUUUACCUGACAAGCAUCUUUCCCUCCUUCAAGUAAACCAGCACAGAUCAUGUUGUCUGUAAUAGAACCUUCACCAUUCAGGCAGGUACACUGUCUGUUUCCCACAACUGGAACCUCCACUUCUUGUAGCGUUUGAGGGAAGGGGAGUGACACUAAACGGUAGAGGGAAAGUCUAUUAGGUGUAGCCAAAGGAAACAUCAUAUUCCAUCACUAGUUAACUACUUUACCUCCUUCCUGGACUGUUCCCCAACCAGUGACCCAGCUAUCAGUACCAUUGAUGAAGUUACUGCUACUGGCUGCCAGACACACAGGUCUGAUGUAGGCUGUGAAAGUGACCGGUGAGGAAAGUCUAAGCAGAGCGAUGUCGUUGUCAAAGCUAAAAGUGUCAAAGUUUGGAUGCAAAAUGAUUGUGUCAACAGUUCUGGACACUUCAUUUGUGUUGUUGCCCUGCAGGUUCUGACGACCAAGAGAAACGGACCAUCCAAAUGUAUUUGUGCUAUAGGGACAACGCCAAUGUUUAGAUGGUUCAGGUAGUUUCAAAAUACAUAUGCUAUCAUGUUCAGGUGACCCACCUGAAGAAGCAGUGGGCAGCUGACAUCACCCACUCUUUGUUUAUAAGAGAACCACCACAAACAUGGCUGCCAAGAUCCUGCAAACUGGCCUGCCAAGGCCAACUUCCUUCUUGAGCGUCUUCACCUCCAACUAUCCUCGUGUUCAGUGGAGAGGUGCCACACACUGCAAACAGGUCUCAUUAAAAUCCAAGUUGAUGUUCACAUACUGUAUUCAAAAUUAGUCAGGGGCACGGAUGGUAUUUUGCAACUGGGCAGAACAGCUGUCAGCAAUGAUUGAAUGAUGAGGUUUUUUCCAACUCCAGGGCUUAAUCAAUUUUUAUUUUUUUUUGAGUCAGUAGCAGUUUUGGAAAGUACACAUACUUUGUUAUUGUACUUAAUGUAAAAUUACUUAAUGUAUAAUUUUAAACAUUUACACUUAUUUUGAAUACUUUCGCUUUUACUCUUCAAAAUGUUUAAAAAAAAAAUACUACCUUUACGAAAUACAUUUUCAUGAAUUAUCUUCGUAACUCUUUACUCUAAAACAAAUGUUGAUUUUGAGACGUAAUGCCAUCAUUUUGUCAUAUUAAAUGCAAACAAGUAAAGUAAAUCGAUGCAAUGUUCAACUCAGAGCGGCGCACCCAGAAACCGCUAGCAAGUCUGCUGCUAAACUGUAACAUGUCGCAGUGUUGCUCAAAGAAUAACUCAGAAAGUCUUGGUGGUUGGAGCUACACUUUUUCCAGUUGUAAGAGUCACAGGUUUGUAAAACUAUUUAAUCAUGUUAGUUACCUGUUGUUGUUGCACAUAUUUAAUGAUUGAAGAAGGUGCUGAAUUGCAAAGCUAUGCAAUUACAAUGUCAUUGUACUACUACUGUGUCCUUAAAAUGCUGCUUUCUGCUGUAAAUUCUUUAUUCUGUAUAUAUAGAUUAAACUUUCUUUUUUAAAAGUUAAUCAUUAGUUUUGAAAUGCACACAGAUAAAUUGGAAGUUAUGUGUGAAUGUAAGUGUGAAUGGUUGUCCAUCUGUAUUGGCUUUGCAAUGAGCUGGCGACUUGUCCUGGGUGUGCCCUGCCUUCUGCCCGAGUGCAGCUUGGAUAGCCUCAAGCAUCCCGGCAGGCCCGAAAUGGACAAGCGGUAGAAAAUGGAUGAAGGGAUUGAUGGAAAUUAAUUAUAUUCUGUCAGUAUUUGGAUGUUUUUAGAGAGCUUUAUAGAGCAUAAUACUAUUUGGUCCAUUGUUAUCUGACUUUCGCUUGCAUUUAUUUAUGGGUUAAAAUGCAUAAAAAAAGAAAAACAGAUGAGUGCUUAUCUUACAUGUUGAUAGUGAAUGAUAGACAAAAAUUUUAAAAAAGUGCAGUUCCCCUUAAGGUUUCUGUUAAAAACAAGUUGAGUUUGUUCUUAUAACAUACAGAAAGGUUGAGAUAUAAAUGACAGUAAAAGUUUAAUAUCAAUGUUUAACAAGUUAAAGUCUCUAUUUUACUGUACCUGAAUAUGUUUUUUUUUUUUAAAUAAGAAAGCCACAUAACACAUAAACAUUAUAAUUUAUCGCUUUGUUUAAAUAAAUUUAGUUCUAAUAUUUAAGUACAUUUUGUAUCAGGUACUUAUUGACUUUUACUGAAACAACUUUUCUAAUUAUCACUUCAACUUCUGCCAAAGUCAUUCUCUGGUCAGAUACUUGUACUUUUACUCAAGUAUCGCUUUCAAGUAUUUUACACAAGACUGGUUACAGUGAAGCAAUCAAUGAGAAGUCAAAGAAAGACAUUACUGGACAAUUAUGAAGAAUUCAAAGGCUUGAACAUCUGGAGCCUUGACGUGACAGCAAUCAUCGAGCCAAAACGGUUUAUCAAGCAUCGCCUCAAUGAUGGCACGAAGAGAGAGAAAAUUGCAACAUUCCUGUACACCUUAACACACUAUUAGCAUAGGACAAUUAAACAAAUCUUCUACAUGAGCUGCAAUGACUGCCAACAGCCAACAGGUGUAAAUUAGCCGACUUACAUGUUUGUUUUUGGAAAAAAAACGCUCGGAUUGUUUUAUUUUCUUCAUGUUAUUUCCUUAUUGAAUUGAAAUCACUCGCUCUGUCAUAGUAGACGAUUGUCUAAUGAUCAGUGAGCAGUGGAAACAAAAGCCAAAUGAGGUUGUACUCAUCCAAACCUAUCAUGGGAGCUUAGUUGAACCGUAACACUUGAUGGAAAUGUGGUUUAAAUACUAUAUAAAUAUUGUCAUGCCAGUUGAAAUUCAUAUUAUUUCUUGUGAAUUUGCAGUAAAUACAGAGUAUUAAGUCAGUGCAGUGAUAAUUGAGAUACUUACGUUCAGCACUUGAGAUGCUGGGCUCUGGUCCUGUCGUAGGAAUAAUACUAGUAACAGGAGGAGAAGGACCAGAGCAUGUGAAGUUGGUGUCAGCAUCCAGCCCACUGGAGUUGAACUGGACAAAGCCUGGCUUAUCAGAACUGAUGUGUGAGUUGAUCCAGGACUGGUAGCUGGACACUCUGGCAUAAACUCCCGGCAGAUUAGGUCGAGCACAGCCAACACCAAAACUGACAAUUCCUGAUUGGAUCCAGACUGAAUCCUGCUGGCUCAUCAUUGGACCACCUGAGUCGCCCUAAUUAGGUGAAUACAAAUUGUGUGUCAAAUACUAUUUGAAUUAUUAUUAUUAUUGUUAUUAUUAUUUUAGGCCAAGGAGAUAAAUUAAAAUAAGUUAUCUACCUGACAAGCAUCUUUCCCUCCUUCAAGUAAACCAGCACAGAUCAUGUUGUCUGUAAUAGAACCUUCACCAUUCAGGCAGGUACACUGUCUGUUUCCCACAACUGGAACCUCCACUUCUUGUAGCGUUUGAGGGAAGGGGAGUGACACUAAACGGUAGAGGGAAAGUCUAUUAGGUGUAGCCAAAGGAAACAUCAUAUUCCAUCACUAGUUAACUACUUUACCUCCUUCCUGGACUGUUCCCCAACCAGUGACCCAGCUAUCAGUACCAUUGAUGAAGUUACUGCUACUGGCUGCCAGACACACAGGUCUGAUGUAUUCUGUGAAAGUGACCGGUGAGGAAAGUCUAAGCAGAGCGAUGUCGUUGUCAAAGCUAAAAGUGUCAAAGUUUGGAUGCAAAAUGAUUGUGUCAACAGUUCUGGACACUUCAUUUGUGUUGUUGCCCUGCAGGUUCUGACGACCAAGAGAAACGGACCAUCCAAAGGUGACUCACCUGAAGAAGCAGUGGGCAGCUGACAUCACCCACUCUUUGUUUAUAAGAGAACCACCACAAACAUGGCUGCCAAGAUCCUGCAAACUGGCCUGCCAAGGCCAACUUCCUUCUUGAGCGUCUUCACCUCCAACUAUCCUUGUGUUCAGUGGAGAGGUGCCACACACUGCAAACAGGUCUCAUCAAAAUCCAAGUUGAUGUUCACUGCUCCCCAAGGGGAUGGGACAAAUGCAGAGGACAAAUUUCGCCACAUCUAGUGUGUGUGUGACAAUCAUUGGUACUUUAACUUUAACAUACUGUAUUCAAAAUUAGUCAGGCUCACGGAUGGUAUUUUGCAACUGGGCAGAACAGCUGUCAGCAAUGAUUGAAUGAUGAGGUUUUUUUCCCAACUCCAGCCGUUAAUCAAUUUUUAAAAACAAUUUUUUAAGUCAGACGCAGUUUUGGAAAGUACACAUACUUUGUUACUGUGCUUAAUGUACAAAUACUAACUGUAUAAUUGUUAAACAUUUACACUUAUUUUGACUACUUUCGCUUAAAAUGUUUUGAAAAAAAUUGACUCAUGCAAUUACAAUGUCAUUGUACUACUACUGUGUCCUUAAAAUGCUGCUUUCUGCUGUAAAUUAUUUAAUCUGUAAAUAUAGAUUUAACUUUGUUUUUUAAAAGUAAAUUAUUAGUUUUGAAAUGCAUACAGAUAUACAUGAUUAAAUUGGCCUUUGUGUGUGAAUGUAAGUGUGUAUUGGUUGUCUAUCUGUAUUGGCUUUGCAAUCAGCUGGCGACUUGUCCUGGGUGUGCCCCGCCUUCUGCCCGAGUGCAGCUGGGAUAGCCUCAAGCCUCACGGCGGGCCCGAAAGGGACAAGCGGUAGAAAAUGGAUGGAAGGAUCAAUGGAAAUCAAUUAUAUUCUGUCAAUAUUUGGAUGUUUUUAGAGAGCUUUAUAGAGCAUAAUACUAUUUGGUCCAUUGUUAUCUGACUUUGACUUGCAUUUAUUUACGGGUUAGAAUGCAUAAGAAAAGAAAAUCAUAUGAGUGCUUGUCUUACAUGUUGAUAGUGAAUGAUAGACAAAAAUCCAAAAAAAGUGCAGUUCCCCUUAAGGUUUCUGUUAAAAACAAGUUGAGUUUGUUCUUACAACAUACAGGAAAGUUGAGAUAUAAAUGACAGUAGAAGUUUAAUAUCAAUGUUUAACAAGUUAAAGCCUCUUCUAUUUUACUGUACCUGAAUAUGUAUUUUUUUUUUUUUAAAUAAGAAAGCCACAUAACACGUAAACAUUAUAAUUUCUCACUUUGUUUAAAUAAAUGUACUUCUAAUAUGUAAGUGCAAUUUGUAUCAGGUACUUAUUGACUUUUACUGAAACAACUUUUCUAAAUAUGACUUCAACUUCUGACAAAGUCAUUCUCUGGUCAGAUACUUGUACUUUUACUCAAGUAUCGCUUUCAAGUAUUUUACACAAGACUGGUUACAGUGAAGCAAUCAAUGAGAAGUCAAAGAAAGACAUUACUGGACAAUUAUGAAGAAUUCAAAGGCUUGAACAUCUGGAGCCUUGACGUGACUGCAAUCAUCGAGCCAAAACGGUUUAUCAAGCAUCGCCUCAAUGAUGGCACGAAGAGAGAGAAAAUUGCAACAUUCCUGUACACCUUAACACACUAUUAGCGUACGACAAUUAAACAAAUCUUCUACAUGAGCUGCAAUGACUGCCAACAGCCAACAGGUGUAAAUUA